This is a long non-coding RNA of Oncorhynchus keta (chum salmon), 733 nucleotides long. RefSeq lists it as uncharacterized. The transcript has 3 exons. Lineage: Eukaryota; Metazoa; Chordata; Actinopteri; Salmoniformes; Salmonidae. The record is from RefSeq and is a predicted model, not a curated record.
CACAAAACAGGGAAUAGUGUGCCAUUUGAGAUGCAUGGACCCAUGUUGUAGCUGUAGGGGGGCUGGGUGGGGUAGAGGUGGUCUACAUGUUGUAGCCGUAGGGGGGCCGGGUGGGGUAGAGGUGGUCUACAUGUAGUAGCUGUAGGGGGGCUGGGUAGGGUAGAGGUGGUCUACAUGUUGUAGCCGUAGGGGGUUGGGUGGGGUAGAGGUGGUCUACAUGUUGUAGCCGUAGGGGGGCUGGGUGGGGUAGAGGUGGUCUACAUGUUGUAGCUGUAGGGGGGCUGGGUAGGGUAGAGGUGGUCUACAUGUUGUAGCUGUAGGGGGGCUGGGUGGGGUAGAGGUGGUCUACAUGGUGUAGCUGUAGGGGGGCUGGGUGGGGUAGAGGUGGUCUACAUGGUGUAGCUGUAGGGGGCUGGGUGGGGUAGAGGUGGUCUACAUGUUGUAGCUGUAGGGGGCUGGGUGGGGUAGAGGUGGUCUACAUGUUGUAGCUGUAGGGGGGCUGGGUGGGGUAGAGGUGGUCUACAUGUUGUAGCUGUAGGGGGGCUGGGUGGGGUAGAGGUGGUCUACAUGUUGUAGCUGUAGGGGGGCUGGGUGGGGUAGAGGUGGUCUACAUGUUGUAGCUGUAGGGGGGCUGGGUGGGGUAGAGGUGGUCUACAUGUUGUAGCUGUAGGGGGGCUGGGUGGGGUAGAGGUGGUCUACAUGUUGUAGCUGUAGGGGGGCUGGGUGGGGUAGC